This 504-nucleotide ribosomal RNA is filed under the name uncultured bacterium. Its description in RNAcentral is "partial 16S ribosomal RNA". It matches the Rfam family "Bacterial small subunit ribosomal RNA", at positions 30 to 523 of the family's 1533-position model. The record is from RNAcentral.
AUUGAACGCUGGCGGCAGGCUUAACACAUGCAAGUCGAGCGGAGUGAUGGUGCUUGCACUAUCACUUAGCGGCGGACGGGUGAGUAAUGCUUAGGAAUCUGCCUAUUAGUGGGGGACAACAUCUCGAAAGGGAUGCUAAUACCGCAUACGUCCUACGGGAGAAAGCAGGGGAUCACUUGUGACCUUGCGCUAAUAGAUGAGCCUAAGUCGGAGUUAGCUAGUUGGUGGGGUAAAGGCCUACCAAGGCGACGAUCUGUAGCGGGUCUGAGAGGUUGGUCAGCCACACUGGGAGUGAGACACGGCCCAGACUGCUACGGGAGGCAGCAGUGGGGAAUGUUGGACCAUGGGGGGAACCCUGAUCCAGCCAGGCCGCGUGUGUGAAGAAGGCCUUAUGGUUGUAAAGCACGUUAAGCGAGGAGGAGGCUCGUUUGGUUAAGACCCAAGAUGAGUGGACGUUGCUCGCAGAAUAAGCACCGGCUAACUCUGUGCCAGCAGCCGCCGUAA